UGGACAAGAAACCAAAUAGAUUGUCUCAAACAGCAGUUAUCAAACAAAUAUAUAAUUGUGAGCACUAUAUUAGAAAAAGUUGCUUACCCUGGGUUUCCAAAGCACUAUAUUAGAAACCAAAUAGAUUGCCUCAAGCCUAUGCUGAAUGCCUUCUCCAAGCGUCUAACCAAGGAAGUAUAUUGCAAUGGUCUUUGCCUUAUACAAAUUCUAACAUUAGUCAGCUUUAAAUUAUCAACUCCUACUUUCCCGAAACACAACUUUGGAAAAAAUAUUUGGAACUCCUCAGCUACCUGAAAUAACAGUAUUGCAACAAAAUGUUCAGAUUGAUUUUCUUCGAUAAAACAUAAGGUUUUAAAACAAACAGAAAAUGAGAAAACAAUUGGAAACAGACUAUUAAAUGACACUUAGACAUGGAUCAUAAGUCUUGAAUUUUUACAAUAUUCGGAACCAACAAGAACAAUGUUUACAAUUCAAGUAACAAAACAAAACAAAAGGAUGCAGCUGGGACCAUGUUACCAAGUGAAAAGCAUGUGAAUAAAUGUCAUGAUAGAUUCAAGGCAUCAAUAUUAUUUAUUGAACACAAUUGUAAAACAAAUCGUCAUCUUCUUACACUUUGUUAUGAGGGAAAAACAAUGCAACUUCAGCUAUAGUAAUCAACUCUUCCCUCAACUCAUUUCAAAUCAAAUAUUGAAAUUAUCAUUAUGUUAAAGCCUCAAACUUAAUUAUGUAUGAAGUAAACUAUAGUUAUAUGACUCAGCUUUAUUACUUGGAAAAUCCAAAGACAAUAACUGUAUAACAAAGCGUCGUACUCUCCUGAUUAUCAACAAGAAAAGCUAAAACUUCAUUCAAAGUACUUACAGAAGUUAAUAUGAUGAAUCUUCAAAGCUCUCCUUAACAACAAUUUUACUUAAUUUUUUGCUAUAAAUGCUUGAAUGGGUGCUUAUGAUUUGAACAUCUACAAAAUUUAAU
RNAcentral lists this long non-coding RNA (969 nucleotides) under Gossypium barbadense (sea-island cotton). Its description in RNAcentral is "long non-coding RNA (GBAR_LNC020330)". Lineage: Eukaryota; Viridiplantae; Streptophyta; Magnoliopsida; Malvales; Malvaceae. The record is from RNAcentral.